Molecule: ribosomal RNA, 217 nt
Filed under: uncultured bacterium
Lineage: Bacteria
Description: partial 16S ribosomal RNA
Rfam family: Bacterial small subunit ribosomal RNA
Source: RNAcentral
UAACCUGCCUCUUAGCGGGGGGUAACUAUUGGAAACGAUAGCUAAUACCGCAUAAAAGUCGACAUUGCAUGAUGUUGACUUGAAAGGUGCAAAUGCAUCACUAAGAGAUGGACCUGCGUUGUAUUAGCUAGUUGGUGAGGUAACGGCUCACCAAGGCGACGAUACAUAGCCGACCUGAGAGGGUGAUCGGCCACACUGGGACUGAGACACGGCCCAG